This 369-nucleotide ribosomal RNA is filed under the name Bacillus cereus. RNAcentral's name for it is "bacterial SSU rRNA". It matches the Rfam family "Bacterial small subunit ribosomal RNA", at positions 557 to 924 of the family's 1533-position model. Lineage: Bacteria; Bacillati; Bacillota; Bacilli; Caryophanales; Bacillaceae. The record is from RNAcentral.
GGCGUAAAGCGCGCGCAGGUGGUUUCUUAAGUCUGAUGUGAAAGCCCACGGCUCUACCGUGGAGGGUCAUUGGAAACUGGGAGACUUGAGUGCAGAAGAGGAAAGUGGAAUUCCAUGUGUAGCGGUGAAAUGCGUAGAGAUAUGGAGGAACACCAGUGGCGAAGGCGACUUUCUGGUCUGUAACUGACACUGAGGCGCGAAAGCGUGGGGAGCAAACAGGAUUAGAUACCCUGGUAGUCCACGCCGUAAACGAUGAGUGCUAAGUGUUAGAGGGUUUCCGCCCUUUAGUGCUGAAGUUAACGCAUUAAGCACUCCGCCUGGGGAGUACGGCCGCAAGGCUGAAACUCAAAGGAAUUGACGGGGGCCCGC